RNAcentral lists this ribosomal RNA (639 nucleotides) under Triticum aestivum (bread wheat). RNAcentral describes it as "partial small subunit ribosomal RNA". The record is from RNAcentral. Lineage: Eukaryota; Viridiplantae; Streptophyta; Magnoliopsida; Poales; Poaceae.
AUGGCUCCGGUGAAGCUGUACGGCGCGACCCUGUCGUGGAACGUCACCAGGUGCGUGGCGGCGCUGGAGGAGGCCGGCGUCGAGUACGAGAUCGUACCCAUCAACUUCGGCACCGGCGAGCACAAGAGCCCCGACCACCUCGCCAGGAACCCCUUCGGCCAGGUGCCAGCUUUGCAGGAUGGUGACUUAUACGUCUUCGAAUCACGUGCUAUUUGCAAGUACGCGUGCCGCAAGAACAAGCCAGAGCUGUUGAAGGAGGGCGACAUCAAGGAGUCAGCAAUGGUGGAUGUGUGGCUCGAGGUGGAGGCCCAUCAGUACACUGCCGCUCUGAGCCCCAUUCUCUUCGAGUGCCUUAUCCAUCCAAUGCUUGGGGGAGCCACUGACCAGAAGGUCAUCGACGACAACCUUGUUAAGAUCAAGAACGUGCUGGCGGUGUACGAGGCGCACCUGAGCAAGUCCAAGUACCUGGCUGGAGACUUCCUCAGUCUUGCGGACCUUAACCAUGUGUCUGUCACCCUGUGCUUGGCGGCUACACCCUAUGCGUCUCUGUUCGACGCGUACCCGCAUGUGAAGGCCUGGUGGACUGACCUGCUGGCGAGGCCGUCCGUCCAGAAGGUCGCAGCGCUGAUGAAGCCAUGA